This 143-nucleotide ribosomal RNA is filed under the name uncultured eukaryote. RNAcentral's name for it is "partial 18S ribosomal RNA". It matches the Rfam family "Eukaryotic small subunit ribosomal RNA", at positions 1299 to 1458 of the family's 1831-position model. The record is from RNAcentral.
UGGUGGAGUGAUUUGUCUGGUUAAUUCCGUUAACGAACGAGACCUCGACCUGCUAAAUAGUUUGGCGAACUCUCCUGGGUUCGUACAACACUUCUUAGAGGGACUAUCGUGCGUGUAGCCAAUGGAAGUUCGAGGCAAUAACA